UACGUAGGGAGCAAGCGUUAUCCGGAUUUACUGGGUGUAAAGGGCGCGUAGGCGGGACGACAAGUCAGGUGUGAAAUCUGGGGGCUCAACCCCCAAACUGCACUUGAAACUGUUGUUCUUGAGUGAUGGAGAGGCAAGUGGAAUUCCUAGUGUAGCGGUGAAAUGCGUAGAUAUUAGGAGGAACACCAGUGGCGAAGGCGACUUGCUGGACAUUAACUGACGCUGAGGCGCGAAAGCGUGGGGAGCAAACAGG
This 253-nucleotide ribosomal RNA is filed under the name uncultured bacterium. Its description in RNAcentral is "partial 16S ribosomal RNA". It matches the Rfam family "Bacterial small subunit ribosomal RNA", at positions 524 to 776 of the family's 1533-position model. The record is from RNAcentral.